AUGUCUCUUCCAAAUAGUCUGUUCCCCCCGCCCGCACCGGUGCUAUCUCGCUACUACACAUGUCACACCACUCCCCCUUCCCUUAUACUAGUUAAAUGGUGGUCGAAGCAUGGGGCUCGCGUGCCCGACCUGCAGACCCUUGCGAGGCGGGUCCUGAGGCAGACGUGCUUCGGCGCCACCAGGUACAACAUCGACUGGAGCCUGUCGGAGAAGCUGCACGCUGAGUGGGACGAGAUGACGCUUUCCGAACAGGAGAGGUUCCGGCAGAAGGAGUACGUCCACUACAGCAGCGUCCUCGCCCGCGCCUCCCCGCUCCUGCACGGUUCCUCCGUGAAGCAGCACGACAGGGUCACCUUGGUGCUGCAGGACUGGAUCAGACCGCAGAAACAGGCCGCUGGUCGCCACUGA
Molecule: ribosomal RNA, 408 nt
Filed under: Triticum aestivum (bread wheat)
Lineage: Eukaryota; Viridiplantae; Streptophyta; Magnoliopsida; Poales; Poaceae
Description: partial small subunit ribosomal RNA
Source: RNAcentral